RNAcentral lists this ribosomal RNA (301 nucleotides) under uncultured bacterium. RNAcentral describes it as "partial 16S ribosomal RNA". It matches the Rfam family "Bacterial small subunit ribosomal RNA", at positions 509 to 809 of the family's 1533-position model. The record is from RNAcentral.
CAGUCGCCGCGGGAAUACGGAGGGUGCAAGCGUUAAUCGGAAUUACUGGGCGUAAAGCGCACGCAGGCGGUUUGUUAAGUCAGAUGUGAAAUCCCCGGGCUCAACCUGGGAAUGGCAGUGGAUACUGGCAAGCUAGAGUGUGUCAGAGGAUGGUGGAAUUCCCGGUGUAGCGGUGAAAUGCGUAGAGAUCGGGAGGAACAUCAGUGGCGAAGGCGGCCAUCUGGGACAACACUGACGCUGAGGCACGAAAGCGUGGGGAGCAAACAGGAUUAGAUACCCCCGUAGUCCCUGUCUCUUACAC